RNAcentral lists this unclassified non-coding RNA (277 nucleotides) under Hevea brasiliensis (rubber tree). The record is from RNAcentral. Lineage: Eukaryota; Viridiplantae; Streptophyta; Magnoliopsida; Malpighiales; Euphorbiaceae.
CAUAAGAAAGAGACGGAUGAAAUCAUUUGAAUGUGCCUACCAUCCUUCAAGUCUGUCAACUUUCAAUUCCAGCGGCGAGUGCUAAUUUCUCCCCACCCACACCAAAAAAUGGAACUCCAACAUACACCCACAAACCUCAACUCCCCCCUGACCGUCCACAAAACUCUGCAAUUCAGAAUGGGUAAGCAGCCACCAUACUGCCAAGCAAAUAAAUUAAAGAAUGGUAUGUACACUAGUGAUGCUGGGUAAAAGUACAAUUUAAUUUGCGUGCCUAAAA